This 865-nucleotide ribosomal RNA is filed under the name Pannaria durietzii. RNAcentral describes it as "partial large subunit ribosomal RNA". It matches the Rfam family "Eukaryotic large subunit ribosomal RNA", at positions 1 to 878 of the family's 3401-position model. Lineage: Eukaryota; Fungi; Ascomycota; Lecanoromycetes; Peltigerales; Pannariaceae. The record is from RNAcentral.
CGGUUGACCUCGGAUCAGGUAGGGAUACCCGCUGAACUUAAGCAUAUCAAUAAGCGGAGGAAAAGAAACCAACCGGGAUUGCCCCAGUAACGGCGAGUGAAGCGGCAACAGCUCAAAUUUGAAAUCUGGCUCAUCGGAGUCCGAGUUGUAAUUUGCAGAGGGUGUUUCGGGCGCGAGGCCGGUCUAAGUCCCUUGGAACAGGGCGUCAAAGAGGGUGAGAAUCCCGUCUGCGACUCGGCCAUCAACCCCGGGUGAAACCCCUUCGACGAGUCGAGUUGUUUGGGAAUGCAGCUCAAAAUGGGUGGUAAAUUUCAUCUAAAGCUAAAUACCGGCCGGAGACCGAUAGCGCACAAGUAGAGUGAUCGAAAGAUGAAAAGCACUUUGGAAAGAGAGUUAAACAGUACGUGAAAUUGUUGAAAGGGAAGCGCUUGCGACCAGACCUGUCCCCGGGCGAUCAUCCGUCAUUCGUGGCGGUGUACGCGCCCGGACGCAGGCCAGCAUCGGUUCGAGCGGCGGGACAAUGGGCUCGGGAAUGUAGCUUCCUUCGGGGAGCCUUAUAGCCCGGGUCGUCAUGCCGCCCGCCCGGACCGAGGACCGCGCUUCGGCUAGGAUGCUGGCGUAAUGGUCGCAAGCGACCCGUCUUGAAACACGGACCAAGGAGUCUACCAUCUAUGCGAGUGUUUGGGUGUCAAACCCGGGCGCGGAAUGAAAGUGAACGGAGGUGAGACCCCUUAACCGGGCGCAUCAUCGACCGAUCCAGAUGUUUUCGGAUGGAUUUGAGUACGAGCAUGGCUGGUGGGACCCGAAAGAUGGUGAACUAUGCUCGAAUAGGGUGAAGCCAGAGGAAACUCUGGUGGAGGCUCGC